ACGACGCUGGCGGCGUGCCUAAUACAUGCAAGUCGAACGGUCUUUUCUAUGGAAGCUUGCUUCCACUGAGAAGAUAGUGGCGAACGGGUGAGUAACACGUGGGUAACCUGCCCAUAAGAGGGGGAUAACAUCCGGAAACGGGUGCUAAUACCGCAUAGUUUUUCUUGAUCGCAUGAUUGAGAAAGGAAAGACGGCCUUUGUGCUGUCGCUUAUGGAUGGACCCGCGGCGUAUUAGUUAGUUGGUGAGGUAACGGCUCACCAAGACGAUGAUACGUAGCCGACCUGAGAGGGUGAUCGGCCACAUUGGGACUGAGACACGGCCCAAACUCCUACGGGAGGCAGCAGUAGGGAAUCUUCCGCAAUGGACGAAAGUCUGACGGAGCAACGCCGCGUGAGUGAAGAAGGUUUUUCGGAUCGUAAAACUCUGUUGUCAGAGAAGAACAAGUUGGAGAGUAACUGCUCCAGCCUUGACGGUAUCUGACCAGAAAGCCACGGCUAACUACGUGCCAGCAGCAGC
Molecule: ribosomal RNA, 517 nt
Filed under: uncultured bacterium
Lineage: Bacteria
Description: bacterial SSU rRNA
Rfam family: Bacterial small subunit ribosomal RNA
Source: RNAcentral